CCUACGGGUGGCAGCAGUGAGGAAUAUUGGUCAAUGGACGAGAGUCUGAACCAGCCAAGUAGCGUGAAGGAUGACUGCCCUAUGGGUUGUAAACUUCGUUUAUAUGGGAAUAAAAUGUUCCACGUGUGGGAUUUUGUAUGUACCAUAUGAAUAAGGAUCGGCUAACUCCGGGCCAGCAGCCGCGGUAAUACGGAGGAUCCGAGCGUUAUCCGGAUUUAUUGGGUUUAAAGGGAGCGUAGGUGGAUUGUUAAGUCAGUUGUGAAAGUUUGCGGCUCAACCGUAAUAUUGCAGUUGAAACUGGCAGUCUUGAGUACAGUAGAGGUGAGCGGAAUUCGUGGUGUAGCGGUGAAAUGCUUAGAUAUCACGAAGAACCCCGAUUGCGAAGGCAGCUUACUAAACUGUGACUGACAUUGAUGCUCGAAAGUGUGGGUAUCAAACAGGAUUAGAUACCCUAGUAGUC
This 460-nucleotide ribosomal RNA is filed under the name uncultured bacterium. Its description in RNAcentral is "partial 16S ribosomal RNA". It matches the Rfam family "Bacterial small subunit ribosomal RNA", at positions 338 to 795 of the family's 1533-position model. The record is from RNAcentral.